CCUGUCUGAAUAUGGGGGGACCAUCCUCCAAGGCUAAAUACUCCUGACUGACCGAUAGUGAACCAGUACCGUGAGGGAAAGGCGAAAAGAACCCCGGCGAGGGGAGUGAAAAAGAACCUGAAACCGUGUACGUACAAGCAGUGGGAGCACAGAGCAAUCUGUGUGACUGCGUACCUUUUGUAUAAUGGGUCAGCGACUUAUAUUCUGUAGCAAGGUUAACCGAAUAGGGGAGCCGAAGGGAAACCGAGUCUUAACUGGGCGUUAAGUUGCAGGGUAUAGACCCGAAACCCGGUGAUCUAGCCAUGGGCAGGUUGAAGGUUGGGUAACACUAACUGGAGGACCGAACCGACUAAUGUUGAAAAAUUAGCGGAUGACUUGUGGCUGGGGGUGAAAGGCCAAUCAAACCGGGAGAUAGCUGGUUCUCCCCGAAAGCUAUUUAGGUAGCGCCUCGUGAAUUCAUCUCCGGGGGUAGAGCACUGUUUCGGCAAGGGGGUCAUCCCGACUUACCAACCCGAUGCAAACUGCGAAUACCGGAGAAUGUUAUCACGGGAGACACACGGCGGGUGCUAACGUCCGUCGUGAAGAGGGAAACAACCCAGACCGCCAGCUAAGGUCCCAAAGUCAUGGUUAAGUGGGAAACGAUGUGGGAAGGCCCAGACAGCCAGGAUGUUGGCUUAGAAGCAGCCAUCAUUUAAAGAAAGCGUAAUAGCUCACUGGUCGAGUCGGCCUGCGCGGAAGAUGUAACGGGGCUAAACCAUGCACCGAAGCUGCGGCAGCGACGCUGAUGCGUUGUUGGGUAGGGGAGCGUUCUGUAAGCCUGUGAAGGUGUGCUGUGAGGCAUGCUGGAGGUAUCAGAAGUGCGAAUGCUGACAUAAGUAACGAUAAAGCGGGUGAAAAGCCCGCUCGCCGGAAGACCAAGGGUUCCUGUCCAACGUUAAUCGGGGCAGGGUGAGUCGACCCCUAAGGCGAGGCCGAAAGGCGUAGUCGAUGGGAAACAGGUUAAUAUUCCUGUACUUGGUGUUACUGCGAAGGGGGGACGGAGAAGGCUAUGUUGGCCGGGCGACGGUUGUCCCGGUUUAAGCGUGUAGGCUGGUUUUCCAGGCAAAUCCGGAAAACUAAGGCUGAGGCGUGAUGACGAGGCACUACGGUGCUGAAGCAACAAAUGCCCUGCUUCCAGGAAAAGCCUCUAAGCAUCAGGUAACAUCAAAUCGUACCCCAAACCGACACAGGUGGUCAGGUAGAGAAUACCAAGGCGCUUGAGAGAACUCGGGUGAAGGAACUAGGCAAAAUGGUGCCGUAACUUCGGGAGAAGGCACGCUGAUAUGUAGGUGAAGUCCCUCGCGGAUGGAGCUGAAAUCAGUCGAAGAUACCAGCUGGCUGCAACUGUUUAUUAAAAACACAGCACUGUGCAAACACGAAAGUGGACGUAUACGGUGUGACGCCUGCCCGGUGCCGGAAGGUUAAUUGAUGGGGUCAGCGCAAGCGAAGCUCUUGAUCGAAGCCCCGGUAAACGGCGGCCGUAACUAUAACGGUCCUAAGGUAGCGAAAUUCCUUGUCGGGUAAGUUCCGACCUGCACGAAUGGCGUAAUGAUGGCCAGGCUGUCUCCACCCGAGACUCAGUGAAAUUGAACUCGCUGUGAAGAUGCAGUGUACCCGCGGCAAGACGGAAAGACCCCGUGAACCUUUACUAUAGCUUGACACUGAACAUUGAGCCUUGAUGUGUAGGAUAGGUGGGAGGCUUUGAAGUGUGGACGCCAGUCUGCAUGGAGCCGACCUUGAAAUACCACCCUUUAAUGUUUGAUGUUCUAACGUUGACCCGUAAUCCGGGUUGCGGACAGUGUCUGGUGGGUAGUUUGACUGGGGCGGUCUCCUCCUAAAGAGUAACGGAGGAGCACGAAGGUUGGCUAAUCCUGGUCGGACAUCAGGAGGUUAGUGCAAUGGCAUAAGCCAGCUUGACUGCGAGCGUGACGGCGCGAGCAGGUGCGAAAGCAGGUCAUAGUGAUCCGGUGGUUCUGAAUGGAAGGGCCAUCGCUCAACGGAUAAAAGGUACUCCGGGGAUAACAGGCUGAUACCGCCCAAGAGUUCAUAUCGACGGCGGUGUUUGGCACCUCGAUGUCGGCUCAUCACAUCCUGGGGCUGAAGUAGGUCCCAAGGGUAUGGCUGUUCGCCAUUUAAAGUGGUACGCGAGCUGGGUUUAGAACGUCGUGAGACAGUUCGGUCCCUAUCUGCCGUGGGCGCUGGAGAACUGAGGGGGGCUGCUCCUAGUACGAGAGGACCGGAGUGGACGCAUCACUGGUGUUCGGGUUGUCAUGCCAAUGGCACUGCCCGGUAGCUAAAUGCGGAAGAGAUAAGUGCUGAAAGCAUCUAAGCACGAAACUUGCCCCGAGAUGAGUUCUCCCUGACUCCUUGAGAGUCCUGAAGGAACGUUGAAG
This 2432-nucleotide ribosomal RNA is filed under the name Escherichia coli. RNAcentral describes it as "partial 23S ribosomal RNA". It matches the Rfam family "Bacterial large subunit ribosomal RNA", at positions 433 to 2843 of the family's 2925-position model. Lineage: Bacteria; Pseudomonadati; Pseudomonadota; Gammaproteobacteria; Enterobacterales; Enterobacteriaceae. The record is from RNAcentral.